This 490-nucleotide ribosomal RNA is filed under the name uncultured bacterium. RNAcentral describes it as "partial 16S ribosomal RNA". It matches the Rfam family "Bacterial small subunit ribosomal RNA", at positions 30 to 507 of the family's 1533-position model. The record is from RNAcentral.
AUUGAACGCUGGCGGCAGGCCUAACACAUGCAAGUCGAACGGUAACAGGGAUCAGCUUGCUGAUUUGCUGACGAGUGGCGGACGGGUGAGUAAUGUCUGUGAAACUGCCUGAUGGAGGGGGAUAACUACUGGAAACGGUAGCUAAUACCGCAUAACGUCACAAAACCAAAGAGGGGGACCUUCGGGCCUCUUGCCAUCGGAUGUGCCCAGAUGGGAUUAGCUAGUAGGUGGGGUAACGGCUCACCUAGGCGACGAUCCCUAGCUGGUCUGAGAGGAUGACCAGCCACACUGGAACUGAGACACGGUCCAGACUCCUACGGGAGGCAGCAGUGGGGAAUAUUGCACAAUGGGCGCAAGCCUGAUGCAGCCAUGCCGCGUGUAUGAAGAAGGCCUUCGGGUUGUAAAGUACUUUCAGCGGGGAGGAAGGGAGUAAAGUUAAUACCUUUGCGCAUUGACGUUACCCGCAGAAGAAGCACCGGCUAACUCCGUG